CGUCACAUCACUAUGGCGCAGCGCUGCGCGACAAAUCCCCGACCGUAAACUCAAAGUCUCUUUCAGACUUUUAAGGGUAUUCUAUAGUCUUUGGUAAACUGCUGACUCAUUCUAUUUAUGACUUACUGACACAAAGUUCAAAUGAUCACUCGCUUCGAUUGUUAUCACUCGAUUGAAUGGGCUUUAUCAGAGGUUAUCAGUUCAUCGAUAUGGGCCAGAAGAGGGCUGCUGCGCCUACUGUUAUGUCAGAUCACAUCUCCAGCAGCUCUUUUAAGAAGCCAUCUCUUGUAAAGGUUCUCCCCCCUCUCUCUCUCAGCUUUUCCUUUCCUAUUUUUCCACACUGUAAUCAGUAAUUCAUUUACACAUAUUUUGCUCUCUCUCUUUCUGUGGUUCAUCAUGGCAUAUUUUUUAAAAGAUAGCAUCAAAUUUUGACCAAUUCUUUCAGAAAGCUGCUGUAAUUAACAGGGAACUUGAACUCGAAGCUCUCAAUGCUGAUCUUGAAGAAGCUGCCAAGGAGGCUGAACAAGCCCUUCAAAGGUUCAGCCCUUCACAGCUGAGAGGGAAGACCAAAGGAAGGCCUGUCAUGGGAUUUGAAUGUGGCUGUAUUGUGCGUUUACGGGGAAGACCAAAAGCUGCAAAGGCAAACAUUUCCAAUGCUGAAGACCAAAAACGCAAAGAAAAUCAGUCACAGCAAGCCGGUCAAACCAGUCCUGAUGAAUAAAGCAUGAACAUGGCCUUCUUGUGCCCAAACAGAAAAGACAGAGCUGGAAAGUUGCACAUUUCCAUUGGUAUGUCUGUAUUCAAUGUAGCUCCUAGAAUGAGCAAAUCAACUGUGCCAUCAACUUUGGAAUUUGGGCAGGAAAUGACUAAAUACGGAGGAUGAAGCCAGUUGAUGAAUAUAUCACUUCAAUGGCCACCAAGUGCAGCAGUGCUGCCAGAACCCAUCAGGUAUCUGCUGUGAAGACUGCAUUCACAAACAGCUCUACUGUGACAGCUCAGAUGUUACGGCCCAUAAAAGUAAACUUCACAACUGAACAACUGCAAGAUAGUGGUGGAGGGAUUCUUUUGGCCCAUACCUCCAACAAACUCCAACAAGAAUUAAUGGACAUCUACACCAGGUGGUGUGUGAGGAAAGCAUGGAGGACCAUCAGAGACUCCAGCCACCCGAGCCAUGCUCUCACCGUUACCACCAGGCAGAUGUGAUCGCAGAACCUUCACCAGCAGACUGCAAGACAAGUUCUUUCCACAGGCAAUCAGACUGAACUAAACUUGUACCAUUAACACCACACACAACACACCAACCUCUUAUGUACUGCACUCUAUCACUUACACUGACUGGACUCUGACUCACUAUUAUUCUGCACCCUGACAUUGUUUGCACUAAUUCAUACCGUACUGCACUGCAAAGGUAUAUGUGUACUGUGAUUAUCGUGUUUAAUCACAAUAAUCAGUUGUGUUAUUGUUUUAAUUUCAUGCUCUCUGUAUAGUAUAAUAUUUACCAUAUGUUGUUCUCUACCUGUAUUGAGUCCCUUACACAUAUGCGUUGCAUAUAUAUUCAAUACUUGUCAUCCAUAAUGUCAUGCAGCAGUUUGCACAAAAGACUUUCACCAUCUGUACACUUGCGUUCAUGGUAUUGUGACAAUAAAGUGAUUUGAUCUGAAUUGGUCACAUGUCUUUUGUUCAUCAGUUGUACUGUAGGGUGCUGGAUAACAACUGAAAAUUGUUUGUGACAUUAUGAUAGGGACAUGGUAAUUUUUGACACAGAGAUACUAAUUAGGUCUUUUAUAGUGAUUAUUUGCACUGCAAAUAAUUGCAUGGUUUUUGCACCAUAAACCACACACUGUCUGUACCUUGUCUUACUGAAUGACACAUUGGCAUUGUGUGAUUGUACAAUAAGGUGUCACAGUAUGUAUUGGCUUUUUAAAUUGGUGUCUUUGUUUACUGUCAACACUGUAUUCUUAUUCCUGAUACAAUGAAAUAAAUG
Molecule: long non-coding RNA, 1984 nt
Organism: Onychostoma macrolepis
Lineage: Eukaryota; Metazoa; Chordata; Actinopteri; Cypriniformes; Cyprinidae
Exons: 7
Source: RefSeq, a predicted model, not a curated record